This 386-nucleotide long non-coding RNA is filed under the name Heterocephalus glaber (naked mole-rat). RNAcentral describes it as "lncRNA (ENSHGLG00100036771.1)". The record is from RNAcentral. Lineage: Eukaryota; Metazoa; Chordata; Mammalia; Rodentia; Bathyergidae.
CACAAAGCUAACAACAGUUGCAGAGAAUAAGAAUGAAUACCGUGAUGUUUCAAUUUUUGCCUCUUCUCACUCUUUCCCCAUCCACAGAUGCCGUUGUCUUUACCCUUCGGUGCAGUCUUAGUUUCCCUGGGUCAUCUUUGAAGGAUAUGUGGGUAAAGUGCUUCCUUCUUGCUUGGAAUGUAGGCCGCUAUUCUCCCAAGAGCUCUCAAUAGUUUGCAAUCCAGAGGAAGCCCUGGCUGUUCUUAUUGAAGAUUGUCACCCUCUGGGAAGCUGUGAGGUCAAGAAUGGAUUAGUCACUGGAAAAGGAAGUUACAGAAGAACGGACACUGGAUACUCCAAAAGAGGAAGCUACUCUAAUAAGGCUGGAGGCUCCCCAGUAGGUAAUA